GUUAGGAAUAUUCGUCAAUGGGGGAAACCCUGAACGAGCAAUGCCGCGUGAGUGAUGAAGGUCUUCAUGAUUGUAAAACUCUGUUGUAAAGGAAGAAUAGCUAUUAUAGGUAAUGAUAAUAGUCUGACGGUACUUUACCAGAAAGCUCCGGCUAACUACGUGCCAGCAGCCGCGGUAAUACGUAGGGAGCAAGCGUUAUCCGGAUUUAUUGGGCGUAAAGCGUUCGUAGGCGGUUUGUUAAGUCUAAAAUUAAAGCCUGGGGCUCAACCUCAGUUCGUUUUAGAAACUGGCAGACUUGAGUGUGGUAGAGGCAAGUGGAAUUUCUAGUGUAGCGGUUAAAUGCGUAGAUAUUAGAAGGAACACCAGUGGCGAAGGCGGCUUGCUGGGCCAUUACUGACGCUGAGGAACGAAAGCGUGGGGAGCAAAUAGGA
RNAcentral lists this ribosomal RNA (431 nucleotides) under uncultured bacterium. Its description in RNAcentral is "bacterial SSU rRNA". It matches the Rfam family "Bacterial small subunit ribosomal RNA", at positions 354 to 777 of the family's 1533-position model. The record is from RNAcentral.